This 400-nucleotide ribosomal RNA is filed under the name uncultured bacterium. Its description in RNAcentral is "bacterial SSU rRNA". It matches the Rfam family "Bacterial small subunit ribosomal RNA", at positions 500 to 895 of the family's 1533-position model. The record is from RNAcentral.
AUUCGAUUGUGCCAGCAGCCGCGGUAAUACGGAGGAUGCGAGCGUUAUCCGGAUUUAUUGGGUUUAAAGGGUGCGUAGGCGGGGACUUAAGUCAGCGGUGAAAGUUUGAGGCUCAACCUUAAAAUUGCCGUUGAAACUGGGUUUCUUGAGUGUAGAUGAAGUGGGCGGAAUUUGUGGUGUAGCGGUGAAAUGCAUAGAUAUCACGAAGAACUCCAAUUGCGCAGGCAGCUCACUAAACUACCACUGACGCUGAAGCACGAAAGUGUGGGUAUCAAACAGGAUUAGAUACCCUGGUAGUCCACGCCGUAAACGAUGAGUGCUAGGUGUUGGGGGGUUUCCGCCCCUCAGUGCUGAAGCUAACGCAUUAAGCACUCCGCCUGGGGAGUACGGCCGCAAGGCU